RNAcentral lists this long non-coding RNA (276 nucleotides) under Olea europaea subsp. europaea. The record is from RNAcentral. Lineage: Eukaryota; Viridiplantae; Streptophyta; Magnoliopsida; Lamiales; Oleaceae.
UUCUCCUCUCACGGUUUCUCUCUUCUGCCUUUACUUCUUCAUUUUUCCCCUUUCUUCCCUCUCUCUCUCUGUGUAUGAUUUGUGAACAGAUCAAUUGAGUGCAACAUAUAAUAAUUAAAUAAUUGCGAUAAUGAUAAUGACCUACCUAAAAUUUUAAUAGGACUCUUAAUUAGAAUUUAAAUUGAACUCUGAACUAAUAACUUUAUCAAAGAAAAAUCUAAUUUUAUGAGGAUAAGAUUCUAAUAUAAAUAUGUGAAAAUUCUAAAUAUAUCUAAA